This 1710-nucleotide long non-coding RNA is filed under the name Chlamydomonas reinhardtii. RNAcentral describes it as "long non-coding RNA (CREI_LNC000153)". The record is from RNAcentral. Lineage: Eukaryota; Viridiplantae; Chlorophyta; Chlorophyceae; Chlamydomonadales; Chlamydomonadaceae.
UAGCGUGCCUAGGAAAGUGAGGAUGAACGGGCAAUGCAACAGGUGCUGCGGGCGCAAGUAGCCGGGGAAGUUGCAUGCGGACGUUGCGCGAUCUAGGCGGGAUAUAAGCCGGCGUUGGCACGCCGGACUUACACCAGUCUUAUUCUACCUUACUGGGUCAAUGUAACAGUAUAAGGAAAGCUAGUCUACGCGAGCCUGCUACUCAGUAUACCGGAUGCGAUAGGAAACUUGCCAAACACCGCGUAUUUCCAACAGGUUAUGAGCCCCGGCGCUCUCUGAGUGUCCGUGUAGGUGUUCUAGGCAUUAUCGCGGUUACUGAUAGCGUUUAGGCUUGGCGCGAUUUUGGUCGCUCUGGUCGCUGAGCACCAUGGGCCUUCCUAAGCUCGACAAGCUGAAGGACGCGAAAGGCUGGCGCGCAUUCCGCGUGGACUUCUGGGCGAUGUGCGUCGUGGAGGAGUGCGUCGACGCCAUCGAUGCUCCCAUGCGCGUUACUCGCGAGCAGCAGCGGCGUGCGCACAAGAAGACGUACUACCACCCGUCGCGCAUCAGCCCGCAGCACGUUGCGCUGUGAACGGCUGAAGCGGAAAGCGCGGCCGUGGGAGCUGCGUGUACUGUGCUAGUGACGGCGUGCUUUGCCGUGGCGCUGGCUGUAUGCUGAGUAUGUUGGUGAAGCAAUCACUGCAUGGAGCUAGCUGGAGCUGGAGCUAAGGAGCUAGUGUGCGACGCGCGAAGUUUAGAAGCAUGGUUACGGGACCGGAUAUGGGUUUCCGUGGGAGCCAUCGUGCAGUAGUUGGUAACGCCGGAUUGUGCGUGCCUGAGCCAUGUGCAGGACCAUAUGCGUGGCAGACACUGCAGACUUGCGGCGUGCAAGUACUGUGACGUAAUGACUGCGGUGAUAGCAGCAUGCGUGAUUAGCUGCAGGUUAUAUGCAGCGGUUGGUACUGCGGUUAAGCAGUGCUGUUGUCUACCAAGGGCGCGAGCGGCCUAGCUUGCCAAGGGUGUAGACGUGUGUGCGAAGUGUGUGACUUGCGGAUUGAGCAAGCACGACGGUUAGGUCUUGUCCGACUAAACAAGCCUGGUAGCAUGUUUGCCGGUGUGCGCAACAUGAGAUUGAUUGAUUGAUGCGAUGCGGUAUAAGCAUGUGGGUAGGAUGAUGCAAUGGACAUGCGAGAUGCAGCGGAAAGCGUACGGUGAUUAAGACAUGCGAUUUAUUGACUGACCCAUCUAGCGUGAGACGGCUAGAGUCGCGUGGGAGCUACGUUAGCUGUGGAGGCAUGAGUAGUGCAGGAUGUGCGAAAUGAUUGACGUGUGUUCGUGCCGUCGACCACGUGGGAGUGUUGGAAAGUCGCCGGUAUGGUCGACUGUCACUCACACUAGUUACACGGGUUACACCGAACGUUAGGCAAUGCAGGAAGUAGCGUGCCUAGGAAAGUGAGGAUGAACGGGCAAUGCAACAGGUGCUGCGGGCGCAAGUAGCCGGGGAAGUUGCAUGCGGACGUUGCGCGAUCUAGGCGGGAUAUAAGCCGGCGUUGGCACGCCGGACUUACACCAGUCUUAUUCUACCUUACUGGGUCAAUGUAACAGUAUAAGGAAAGCUAGUCUACGCGAGCCUGCUACUCAGUAUACCGGAUGCGAUAGGAAACUUGCCAAACACCGCGUAUUUCCAACAGCAGUGGAUGUCUCUGGUCGGCCGGACACCGCUGGCUGACU